This is a non-coding RNA of Triticum aestivum (bread wheat), 88 nucleotides long. The record is from Rfam. Lineage: Eukaryota; Viridiplantae; Streptophyta; Magnoliopsida; Poales; Poaceae.
UUGUCACUCCCUCCGUCCCAAAAUUCUUGUCUUAGAUUUGUCUAAAUACUGAUCUAAGACAAGAAUUUUGGGACGGAGGGAGUAUUAU